This 351-nucleotide unclassified non-coding RNA is filed under the name uncultured bacterium. RNAcentral describes it as "contains 16S-23S intergenic spacer region". The record is from RNAcentral.
UCGGCACCGGCACAUCGCAGGGCGUGCCGAUGAUUGGAUGUGAUUGCGAUGUCUGCCAUUCGAGUGACCCGCGCGAUCAGCGCUUGCGGUCCUCGAUUUAUGUCGAAACGCCGGAGUGCGCGUGGGUCGUGGAUACGGGCCCGGAUUUUCGGACGCAGGCAUUGCGGGAAAACAUUCGCCGCCUGGAUGCCGUCGUCUUCACCCACUCGCACACGGACCACAUCAUGGGGUUCGACGAUCCUCGGCGUUAUUCGCAUGACCUGGGAUCAAUCCCGGUCUACGCCUCCGCCGAAACGAUGCGCGAUCUUGAGCGUGUUUAUGAAUUCGCCUUCAACGGUCUCAAUCGCUUUC